CCAGACUCCUACGGGAGGCAGCAGUGGGGAAUAUUGCACAAUGGGGGAAACCCUGAUGCAGCAACGCCGCGUGAAGGAAGACGGUUUUCGGAUUGUAAACUUCUAUCAAUAGGGAAGAAAGAAAUGACGGUACCUAAAUAAGAAGCCCCGGCUAACUACGUGCCAGCAGCCGCGGUAAUACGUAGGGGGCAAGCGUUAUCCGGAUUUAUUGGGUUUAAAGGGUGCGCAGGCGGAGGUGCAAGUCAGCGGUCAAAUUGCGGGGCUCAACCCCGUACUGCCGUUGAAACUGCAUCCCUUGAGUGCGCGAGAAGUAUGCGGAAUGCGUGGUGUAGCGGUGAAAUGCAUAGAUAUCACGCAGAACUCCGAUUGCGAAGGCAGCAUACCGGCGCGCAACUGACGCUCAUGCACGAAAGCGUGGGUAUCGAACAGGAUUAGAUACCCGUGUA
This 446-nucleotide ribosomal RNA is filed under the name uncultured bacterium. RNAcentral describes it as "bacterial SSU rRNA". It matches the Rfam family "Bacterial small subunit ribosomal RNA", at positions 331 to 792 of the family's 1533-position model. The record is from RNAcentral.